AUACGGAGGGCGCAAGCGUUGUCCGGAAUUACUGGGCGUAAAGGGGGCGCAGGCGGCUUGGUAAGUCCUAUGUGAAAGCCCGCAGCUCAACUGCGGAAAGCCAUAGGAUACUGCCGAGCUUGAGACGGGUAGAGGCGAGUGGAAUUCCCGGUGUAGCGGUGGAAUGCGUAGAUAUCGGGAAGAACACCAGUGGCGAAGGCGGCUCGCUGGGCCCGUUCUGACGCUCAGGCCCGAAAGCGUGGGGAGCAAACAGGAUUAGAAACCCCGGUAGUCC
Molecule: ribosomal RNA, 274 nt
Filed under: uncultured bacterium
Lineage: Bacteria
Description: partial 16S ribosomal RNA
Rfam family: Bacterial small subunit ribosomal RNA
Source: RNAcentral